GAUCCUGGCUCAGGAUGAACGCUAGCGACAGGCUUAACACAUGCAAGUCGAGGGGCAUCAUGAGGUAGCAAUACCUUGAUGGCGACCGGCGCACGGGUGGGUAACGCGUAUGCAACCUGCCCGAUACCGGGGUAUAGCCCAUGGAAACGUGGAUUAACACCCCAUAGUACUUUUAUCCUGCAUGGGAUGUGAGUUAAAUGUUCAAGGUAUCGGAUGGGCAUGCGUCCUAUUAGUUAGUUGG
Molecule: ribosomal RNA, 241 nt
Filed under: uncultured bacterium
Lineage: Bacteria
Description: partial 16S ribosomal RNA
Rfam family: Bacterial small subunit ribosomal RNA
Source: RNAcentral